This 212-nucleotide long non-coding RNA is filed under the name Gossypium barbadense (sea-island cotton). RNAcentral describes it as "long non-coding RNA (GBAR_LNC006452)". The record is from RNAcentral. Lineage: Eukaryota; Viridiplantae; Streptophyta; Magnoliopsida; Malvales; Malvaceae.
GGGGCUGACCUUUGGAGUUUUCUAAGCUAUUUUAAUACCUUCCAUGACCGUUCAGCUCAACGAAGGACCACCAGCUGGCUGCUUGCAUUCGGCUGAACCUUCCAAUAGGCUAUUUGAACUCAUUCAUUCACCAGCAGUGGAGGAAGCUUCAAGGAAAUUUCCAUGGCCUAUUCUAGCAUGUUCUAGCCGAUUCUAAAUGUCCAAUGGGCUGC